AGGAGACCUAGAGAGAGAAAGGGGGAUAAGAGAGAGAAAGAAGAAGAGAAGUGGAAGAGAGAGAGGGCCAAAACAGGGGACCAUAAUCAUCAAAGUUAUCUCUCUCUCUCUCUCUCUCUCUCUCUCUCUCUCUCUCUCUCUCUCUCUCU
This 149-nucleotide microRNA precursor is filed under the name Marmota monax (woodchuck). Lineage: Eukaryota; Metazoa; Chordata; Mammalia; Rodentia; Sciuridae. The record is from RNAcentral.